UGUCAAUCCCAAUAUCUCAGUUUAUCCCUCCUCCACUUUGAUAAACAUAAGUUUGCUUUUUCCAUCUGUGACUCUCUUUCUUUUUUGUAAAUAGGUUCAUUUAUUCCAUUUAUUUAUUAUGUUUUAGAUUCCAUGUAUAAGCAAUAUCGUAUAAUAUUUGUCGUUCUCUCUCUGACUUACUGCACUUAGUAUAACAAUCUCUAGGAAACCAGUAUUUUAAAGCGCAUCCGUUUAGAUGGUGUCCUUAGCUAGUGUCUGCCCCUGGGAGGCACGUGCGUCUGGCUGCUGCAAUCACUUAAUCCCUGCACCUUUACCAUGAAAACUGGGGAGGCGGAGGUCGGGGAGCGGGAAUCCAGUGCAAUCGCUGCUGACAUCCCUUUAAAGCCAAAGUCGUAGAGAGAAGUAAUUGGAUUGAGUGGAAAUAGAGUUUUAGAAUGAAAGUGAAUGAUUUGAUUCAUCUAAUUCAGUUAAAACUUUAGAUCAUCUCAUUUAAAUUGCCUGUGUUUCCAUUUAUAUGUCAAAUCCCUGGCCUUUACCAAGAAGGCAAAGUUUUCCCAAUAUAAAAUAAUGGAAGUCUGUUCACUUCUCCUUCAAGGCCGUGCUGUACCAUUCCUUUCAGCCAGGACUGAAGGUCAGGACCCAGGUCCUUGUAAAGACAAUCCCUUUCAAUGCAGUGUUGGUUGAGUCAUAGAAUGUGAGCUCCUGAAAUGCUCUAACAUUGCCUAGGUCUCUCUCCAGUUGCAGUGAAGCCUCCACAUUCUGAUCCUCUGGGGGUUUUGGUAGCUAUGGGAGCCGGCACUACCUCUGCUCAAGGACACAGCGUCUCAAGGGCACCUAAUCAUUCCCAAGGGCAAAAGCCAUGGGGACUUUGCAACAGAUCAGACAAAUGGAACCAGCUAAUUAAAGCUCAUGACUAGCUAGGCUGAUGACAUGGCAUGAAUUCCUCAGGACUUACAUUGGAGCAUCCCUUGGCCUUGGUGUUUCCCUUGGAAGAAGGAAGUGCAGCAGAGCCUUCUGAGCUGUAUCUUCCCCUCAAAGAACUCAAAAGACUAUCCAAAGGUUGAAGAGUUAAAAACCCAUGGACCAUUCCUGGUCCAGUGGACUAGAUGUCCUGAAAGAUGGCUGAGUUUAGGAAAAUACCUGGUUGGAAGGGCUGCAGAAGGACUGCACCUAAAAGGCACCCUCUUCAUACCAAGAGUCUCUCCGUAGGCUUUUCAAGGACUCUGAGAAGGUGAGUCAGUGAGGAUAGACGUUCUCAUUUUGUCUACGAGGUUAGACAGACGCGC
RNAcentral lists this long non-coding RNA (1286 nucleotides) under Bos indicus x Bos taurus (hybrid cattle). RNAcentral describes it as "lncRNA (ENSBIXG00000020333.1)". The record is from RNAcentral. Lineage: Eukaryota; Metazoa; Chordata; Mammalia; Artiodactyla; Bovidae.